Long non-coding RNA from Lagenorhynchus albirostris (white-beaked dolphin), 843 nucleotides. RefSeq lists it as uncharacterized. Lineage: Eukaryota; Metazoa; Chordata; Mammalia; Artiodactyla; Delphinidae. The transcript is spliced from 3 exons. The record is from RefSeq and is a predicted model, not a curated record.
UCCCCUGUCCCUCACAUCCAAAUAGGCUGGAGUUUAAUAACACCUCCGCCGUCACUCCCAAACACUGAUAGAGCGUUUUGCUCCUAAUAAGUUUAAAGUAUUAGAUGAAUUCACUGAUUACUUCAUCCUCGUGAGCGGUGAGGCUGGAACUAAGAUCGUCACGUUUACAAACGUGCUUCGAAAUUGCUCCCAAGGUCAAGGAGCUGUUUGUGAGCGAGCUGUCACCAGAUUGUGCCCACCGGGGUCCCACACUUAGGGAAAAGCCCAAACCUGGAAAGUCCGCCGAACUCUGGCUGGUUUCCCACCCCUCACCCAAACUGCAGGAUUUGGCGGAGACGAUGGGGCAUCAUCCUGGACUCCUGAAAUGUUUAAUAGAAACGCAAACGCAAAUGAGACCGGUCAGGCCAUGCGGAAACUGUCACCUUUAGCAAGUAGAAGUACAAGGAAGUUCCUGAAGAAGAUUGAAUUUAAAUUCAGCCCCCCAACCCCGCACCGGGGGCAGGGGUGGGGUCCAUGGGUCACUCACACCUUCCUCUGUUUCCCACUUCACCUAAAAAAAAACGAGCCACAAGAUUAACUGUUGGGAGAGAAAUACCGCGAUGGUGUCAGAAAAAUCACCAAAAUCUCCUUCGCCGGAACAGAACUUCAACUUUGGUCUAUUGCGGUCACACCUGCAUCCCCAGGGCCUGGAAACAAGCCUGACACACAGCAGCUGUGCUGAGCAGUUUGCGGGAUCUUAGUUCUCCAACCAGGGAUCAAACCAGUGCACCCUGCACUGGAAGCACGGAGUCCUAAUCACUGGACCACCAGGGAAUUCCCUCCCUGGACUUUUUAUUUUCUGAG